CCCUAGAAAAUAUAUUUUUUUUAUCUACUUAAAAGUUAAAAGUAAAAUAAAGUUUAUUUUCAGUUUAAUAAGAAGUUCUACUGGUUAAAUUAAAAUGUACAACGUAUAUAAUAUACUUUAUAACCAAUUUUUAAUGUUAUUAAUCUACCAUUUGCAUUUUUAAGUGUAAUCUGUGAAAACAAUAAGUAUACAGAUGUAACAUUUUUUAUUACAGAUAUGGAUAUAUGUAACAAUACAAUGAUAUGAGGUUCUUAGAGCUUCUUAUGGGGUUAAGAAAAGAGAAUACACUAAGAAAAAUGGAAAGAAAUUAGAUUUUCUUUUGGGAAGAUGUGAACUUGCCUAGAAUUUCGUAAGGAAACUGUGUGCCAAAAAUGAGUAAGCUGGAGCAACAAGAUUGGAAUCCUGUUGCUUUCGAAUGAGUCCUGCUUGUGAUUCUGCAAGUACCUCUUCAGAAAAUUAUAAUAUUAUUACAUGGACUCGAUGCUGUACUCCUGAAGAGAUGCAGUGGUAACAGAUGUAAACUUGUCUAGAAUUUCGUAAGGAAACCUCUCCGGCUGUAUUCAAGGACAGUGUGUGCCAAAAAUGAGUAAGCUGGAGCAACAAGAUUGGAAUCCUGUUGCUUUCGAAUAAGUCCUGCCUGUGAUUCUGCAAGUACCUCUUCAGAAAAUUAUACUAUUAUUACAUGGACUCCAUGCUGUACCUCCUGAAGAGAUGCAGUGGUAAUAGAGAUAUUCGCAAGUUACUGGAAAUAUGAAUAUCCGGUAUACAUCAGAAAGAAAAUUCUAUUGAAAAAUCAACGGGCAAUCCAAGAAUCCAAGGACUUAUGUUAUUUGUGCUGUAUAUUGUGUCUAACAAUACAUUUAUAAUUAAUUGUGUUAAUAUUGUAGUUAUAAACCAUUCUUUUUCUAAUAAAUCUUA
This 918-nucleotide long non-coding RNA is filed under the name Sitophilus oryzae (rice weevil). Its description in RNAcentral is "uncharacterized LOC115884264, transcript variant X3". The record is from RNAcentral. Lineage: Eukaryota; Metazoa; Arthropoda; Insecta; Coleoptera; Curculionidae.